Molecule: ribosomal RNA, 255 nt
Filed under: uncultured bacterium
Lineage: Bacteria
Description: partial 16S ribosomal RNA
Rfam family: Bacterial small subunit ribosomal RNA
Source: RNAcentral
UACGUAGGGUGCAAGCGUUGUCCGGAAUUAUUGGGCGUAAAGAGCUCGUAGGCGGUGUGUCGCGUCGGCCGUGAAAACCUGGGGCUUAACUCUGGGCGUGCGGUCGAUACGGGCAUCACUGGAGUUCGGCAGGGGAGACUGGAAUUCCUGGUGUAGCGGUGAAAUGCGCAGAUAUCAGGAGGAACACCGGUGGCGAAGGCGGGUCUCUGGGCCGGUACUGGACGCUGAGACGCGAAAGCGUGGGGAGCGAACAGG